Molecule: ribosomal RNA, 496 nt
Filed under: uncultured bacterium
Lineage: Bacteria
Description: partial 16S ribosomal RNA
Rfam family: Bacterial small subunit ribosomal RNA
Source: RNAcentral
AUUGAACGCUGGCGGAAUGCUUUACACAUGCAAGUCGAACGGUAGAGGGGGCAACCCCUCGAGAGUGGCGAACGGGUGAGUAAUAUAUCGGAACGUGCCCAGUCGUGGGGGAUAACGUAGCGAAAGUUACGCUAAUACCGCAUACGAUCUAAGGAUGAAAGCGGGGGAUCGCAAGACCUCGCGCGAUUGGAGCGGCCGAUAUCAGAUUAGGUAGUUGGUGGGGUAAAGGCUCACCAAGCCAACGAUCUGUAGCUGGUCUGAGAGGACGACCAGCCACACUGGAACUGAGGCACGGUCCAGACUCCUACGGGAGGCAGCAGUGGGGAAUUUUGGACAAUGGACGCAAGUCUGAUCCAGCCAUUCCGCGUGCAGGAUGAAGGCCCUCGGGUUGUAAACUGCUUUUGUACGGAACAAAAAGGUCUCUCUUAAUACGGGGGACUCAUGACGGUACCGUAAGAAUAAGCACCGGCUAACUACGUGCCAGCCGCCGCAGUAA